Molecule: ribosomal RNA, 253 nt
Filed under: uncultured bacterium
Lineage: Bacteria
Description: partial 16S ribosomal RNA
Rfam family: Bacterial small subunit ribosomal RNA
Source: RNAcentral
UACGUAGGGGGCAAGCGUUGUCCGGAAUCAUUGGGCGUAAAGAGCGUGUAGGCGGCUUGGUAAGUCCGCUGUGAAAGUCCGGGGCUCAACCUCGGAUCGGCCGUGGCGACUCGUGGGCUGGAGCACUGUAGAGGCGGGUGGAAUUCCGGGUGUAGCGGUGGAAUGCGUAGAGAUCCGGAAGAACACCAGUGGCGAAGGCGGCCCGCUGGGCAGUGGCUGACGCUGAGGCGCGACAGCGUGGGGAGCAAACAGG